CUCUAUCUGCAGUGCACAUUCUGCACUAUAGAAGAUCCACUCCUGUUAAGCACUGCUUAUUUGCAAAAUCUUAUCCGGCAAAACCAAUAUCUGGAUCACAAGCACCUAUUGAUUUUAGAUUCUCUAAAUCUCAAAUUUAAGACAAUGGCACAUAUAAAUUGAAUCGCAUCCUUACUUGAAAAUAUAUAAUAUCCGUUCUCUCUCCA
RNAcentral lists this long non-coding RNA (206 nucleotides) under Elaeis guineensis (African oil palm). RNAcentral's name for it is "long non-coding RNA (EGUI_LNC021127)". Lineage: Eukaryota; Viridiplantae; Streptophyta; Magnoliopsida; Arecales; Arecaceae. The record is from RNAcentral.